RNAcentral lists this small RNA (352 nucleotides) under Histoplasma ohiense. RNAcentral describes it as "hypothetical lncRNA". The record is from RNAcentral. Lineage: Eukaryota; Fungi; Ascomycota; Eurotiomycetes; Onygenales; Ajellomycetaceae.
GUGGCUGAGGACCGAAAUGGAAGCGUAAAAAAAAAAAAAAAAAGGCGUACCUCGAUCCUGAACCCAAACCGGCAAUCUUGGCGUUUCACUAAAGUUAUGGAGAAAAACCAAACCCCCGUGUAACCACCCGUACGUGCUAAGAAUGGCAGCACGGUGUACGGAGUACGGUACGGUACGGUGUCAUCAUAAGGUUAUAAGGCUGUCGCAGCUCGCUAGGUAUGUAUGAGACGAUGCCAGGAGAGGAAGAGCUCCGCGCGAGAGAGCUCCUUGGUAGGACAGGAAAACAACGCGAGAUACGAGCAGCUCAUUUUAUAUUUCUUCGUUUUUUGGGGUUCGAUUGAACUUCGGUUGG